GGGCCCGCACAAGCGGUGGAGCAUGUGGUUUAAUUCGAUGCAACGCGAAGAACCUUACCAGGGCUUGACAUACUGCGAAUCUACCUGAAAGGGAAGAGUGCCUUCGGGAAUGCAGAUACAGGUGGUGCAUGGCUGUCGUCAGCUCGUGUCGUGAGAUGUUGGGUUAAGUCCCGCAACGAGCGCAACCCUUGUUUUUAGUUACCAACUUGUUGGGUUUUCUAGAAAGACUGCCGGUGACAAACCGGAGGAAGGUGAGGAUGACGUCAAGUCAGCAUGCCCCUUAUGUCCUGGGCUACACACGUGCUACAAUGGUUUGGACAAAGAGUCGCAAGUUUGCGAAAACAAGCUAAUCUCGUAAACCAAACCUAAGUUCAGAUUGUAGGCUGCAACUCGCCUACAUGAAGUUGGAAUCGCUAGUAAUCG
This 423-nucleotide ribosomal RNA is filed under the name uncultured bacterium. RNAcentral's name for it is "bacterial SSU rRNA". It matches the Rfam family "Bacterial small subunit ribosomal RNA", at positions 917 to 1344 of the family's 1533-position model. The record is from RNAcentral.